UAAAACCAGCACCUCAAGUGGUCAGGAUGAUUAUUGGGCCUAAAGCAUCCGUAGCCUGUUUUGUCAGUUUUCGGUUAAAUCCAUACGCUCAACGUAUGGGCUGCCGGAAAUACUGCAAAACUAGGGAGUGGGAGAGGUAGACGGUACUCGGGAGGAAGUGGUAAAAUGCUUUGAUCUCUCGAUGACCACCUGUGGCGAAGGCGGUCUACCAGAACACGUCCGACGGUGAGGGAUGAAAGCUGGGGGAGCAAACCGGAUUAGAUACCUGGGUAGUCCCAGCUGUAAACUAUGCAAACUCAGUGAUGCAUUGGCUUGAUGCCAAUGCAGUGUUGCAGGGAAGCCGUUAAGUUUGCCGCCUGGGAAGUACGUACGCAAGUAUG
Molecule: ribosomal RNA, 380 nt
Filed under: uncultured Nitrososphaerota archaeon
Lineage: Archaea; Thermoproteati; Nitrososphaerota
Description: bacterial SSU rRNA
Rfam family: Archaeal small subunit ribosomal RNA
Source: RNAcentral